CUGGGUGUUUGGUAGUGGAUAAAGCUAGUUGCCCAGCGGGACAAGGGGGGAAAGGCAGUGGGAAGAGUUAACGGGACUUUGAAGUUUGUAUCUUGGACAACUGGAUGGAUGUUAAUUCCCUUGACUCAGCUUUGGAAGCAGGAGGAGGACAGGCUGGGAAUGGAAGCAGUAAUGAGUCUUGGUUUGAACUGCCUUCGAGACAUCCAGGGAGAGAAGGGCAGUCAUAGUUCAGGUGAAAGGUUAGGAUUGAAAAUAUGCAUUUGGGAAUUCGAGUAUUCCCUGGUGGCUGAAGCCCCAACGGUGGAUGAAAAUGAGUUACUCUGAAGAAAUUUGAUGGGUAGUUGGAGGAGGAGGAGUCUGUGAAGGCUCCUGAGAACAGUCAGAGGAAAAAAGGAGAUCAAGAAAGAGAGAUGGCCUGGAAGCCAAGAAAAAGAUUUUGGUUUUUUUUUAAGAGUACCUUGUUGAAUUAAUUAAUUAAUUAAUUAAUUAAUUUUGAGGAAGAUUAGCCCUGAGCUAGCUACUGCCAGUCCUCCUCUUUUUGCUGAGGAAGCCUGGCCCUGAGCUGACAUCCAUGCCCAUCUUCCUCUACUUUAUAUGUGGGACGCCUACCACAGCAUGGCUUUUUGCCAAGCGGUGCCAUGUCCACACCCCGGAUCUGGGCCUGUGAACCCCGGGCCACCGAGAAGCGGAGUGUGUGAACUUAACAGGUGCGCCACUGGGCCAGCCCCCAAGAAAAAGUUUUAAUCAUUUAACAUUCAUAGUUAUUGAGACCUACUGUGUGCCAGGCACUAUGCUGGGUACUAGAGACACACAUGAACAAGACACACAGGGGCUGAAAAAUGAAUGGAGGGUAACAAAGAUAUGCAAACAGGUCAAUUAAACAGAGACAGGGGUGGGGGGUGGCGGGGGGAUCUCCAUGAUGCAUGGAGAGCAGAGGAGGGAGUUUCCAGAAAGUGCUGCAGAGCAAUCCUGGAGGAUUUGGACUGAAAAGAAGCUAUUAAAAUGAAGGUCUGGGAGGUCAUUGGUAAUCUUGGUGAGAGAAGUCUUCAUAAAAGGUGGUGGCAAAGUAAGAUGAAAAUGGUCUGGGAAGUGAAUGGAAGGUAGUAAGGAGGAGUGAGUGACUAAAAAUUAUUUUUUCUGAUUUUUGUCAGUGAAUGAAAAGAGAGGACAGUGGCUAGAGGAGGAGGGUUCAAGCUUUUUCAAUAACAUUCAGGAAGUAGCCAAGAUUUAUUGAGAGCCUGUUGUGUGCCAAGCACCUUAGUAGGACCUAGAGAUCUGAGAUGCAGUCCUUGUUCUUUAUCUUACCGUUUAUUGGAGGACACAGAUAAUACCUCCCAUUAUCCCAAACCAACCGAAGACAGAGGGCAAAGGAACCUGGAAGGUGCAGUUCAUUGAGGACGGUCUCCUGGGGCGCAGAAGGCUGGAGAGUGGAUGGAGGGAAGGGGACAGAAAGCUACCAGCACCCACCUGAUUCAGUCAGGGUUCACUGUAGGAACCCCAAGCCACUUUACAAAACCAAAAGGAUAUCAUUCAGACAAUUCAGUGCUUCUGAAACUCUUGGAAGGGCUGGAGGAGUGGAAGUCAACAGAUUAUUGAAAUCAAGGUCACAUUAUUUGUGGUAAACAUUACUAAUGUUCAUUAAUAUCUGGUCCUCCUUUACUUCCUGGGCAUGUGAGAGUUAACAUUUCCCAAUUCCCUUGCAAUUAGGUGGGGCCGUGUGACUAGCUCUAGCCAAUAAAAUGUGGGAAGAAGUAAUGUGUGUGUCACUUCUGGGAUGAGACAGUGAAAAGCCUCUGAGCAAUUCUCUAGACCUUCUCUUCCCUGCCACAACAGUCAUGGAGGAGACCUUGGGUAGGCACCAGAUUGAAGCAGCCCAGAUCAGUGGGUCAGCACACGGAGAACAACUGCCCCCACCUGCAGUAAACCUUUUUAUCCCAGUUUUACUGAGAUAUAAUUGACAUAUAACAUUGCAUUAGUCCAAGAUGUACAACAUAAUGAUUUGAUAUGGGCGUAUAUUGUGAAAUGAUUGCCAUAAUAAGUUU
This 2042-nucleotide long non-coding RNA is filed under the name Equus caballus (horse). Its description in RNAcentral is "lncRNA (ENSECAG00000053811.1)". The record is from RNAcentral. Lineage: Eukaryota; Metazoa; Chordata; Mammalia; Perissodactyla; Equidae.